Molecule: long non-coding RNA, 954 nt
Organism: Pan paniscus (pygmy chimpanzee)
Lineage: Eukaryota; Metazoa; Chordata; Mammalia; Primates; Hominidae
Source: Ensembl
CAAAUAUUAUAUAAAAUCCUAUACGAGACUGUCAAUGUAACACUUGAGAAAAAAUAUAUAAAACAUUUUUUUAAAGGGACUAGCUUUAUAAACAUUCAAAAUUUAGAGAAAAGAGAACAAGCCAGUUACAUUAACAAGGAGCAUAAGUCCCUUGUUAGAGAAAGCAUAGUGAAUCAAUCAGAGUUAGUGUGCUGGCUAAUAUGUUGUCUUUUGAUUGGUUUCUCCAUUAUUGGCCUAUCAAGGUUCAUUUUAUGUGUGUUUCAACUUUCUACAGGUUAUUGGUUUGUCUUUUCAUCCACAGCACAGCUCAAAAUGAGCACAGCUUCCCCACAGAGUGAGUGCUAUGAGCAAUGUAGCAGUUCAUCUGCUUCAAGAUCUUCUUCCCACUACCAGCUCUACUGGGAGAAUGUUCAUUACAUCAUCAUAUAUCUGUCUGAAUUGGAAAAAACAUCUCUAAAUCCUACAUUUAAUUUUUUGGUCAAGUUGUGAAGAAUCACUACCCAAUGCAUAGAAUUACUUUAGCCAAACCGAAUUUUCUGUGAGGUUUUAAUAAUUAACAGUAACACUUCACUUCAUCUUUUAUGCUACUAAAGAUGGGGUUCACACGUUCAGAAGAGGGUAUGUGAAGUAGAGACUAAGUUGUGAUUUGGCUGCAAAUAAUAAGGAAAAGUCUCCGGUGAGUUAUUAAGGUUUCUUCCCUUGAAAAAGGUAGUAAUUUACAGAAACUGAUACAUUAUUAUUAAAACACAAUAAAAAUGGUGCACACAGUUAAAAUAUUUGAAGUCAUAUAUCAACCUAAAAUAGCUACUAUCUUUGCUAUCAAUUGGAUAAUAUUUAUAUUACAUAUUAACUGAAGUAAUCAGAAGGAAAUAAAACUGAAAAAAUAAGCCAGAUAGGAAAAAAUUAAUUUGAAAUAUGACAAUAUGUUUAAUAGUAUAAUUAAAAAGACUAACU